CAGCCGCCGCGGGAAUACGUAGGUGGCAAGCGUUGUCCGGAAUUAUUGGGCGUAAAGGGCUCGCAGGCGGUUUCUUAAGUCUGAUGUGAAAGCCCCCGGCUCAACCGGGGAAGGUCAUUGGAAACUGGGAAACUUGAGUGCAGAAGAGGAGAGUGGAAUUCCACGUGUAGCGGUGAAAUGCGUAGAGAUGUGGAGGAACACCAGUGGCGAAGGCGACUCUCUGGUCUGUAACUGACGCUGAGGAGCGAAAGCGUGGGGAGCGAACAGGAUUAGAUACCCGGGUAGUCCCUGUCUCUUAUAA
This 301-nucleotide ribosomal RNA is filed under the name uncultured bacterium. RNAcentral describes it as "partial 16S ribosomal RNA". It matches the Rfam family "Bacterial small subunit ribosomal RNA", at positions 509 to 809 of the family's 1533-position model. The record is from RNAcentral.